AUACGGGGGGUGCAAGCGUUAAUCGGAAUUACUGGGCGUAAAGCGCGCGUAGGCGGUUAAAUAAGUCGGAUGUGAAAGCCCCGGGCUCAACCUGGGAAUUGCAUUCGAUACUGCUUGACUAGAGUAUGGUAGAGGGAAGUGGAAUUUCCGGUGUAGCGGUGAAAUGCGUAGAUAUCGGAAGGAACACCAGUGGCGAAGGCGACUUCCUGGGCCAAUACUGACGCUGAGGUGCGAAAGCGUGGGGAGCAAACAGGAUUAGAUACCCGAGUAGUCC
Molecule: ribosomal RNA, 274 nt
Filed under: uncultured bacterium
Lineage: Bacteria
Description: partial 16S ribosomal RNA
Rfam family: Bacterial small subunit ribosomal RNA
Source: RNAcentral